Cimex lectularius (bed bug) is the source of this 176-nucleotide long non-coding RNA. RefSeq lists it as uncharacterized. The record is from RefSeq and is a predicted model, not a curated record. NCBI's taxonomy places the organism in Eukaryota, Metazoa, Arthropoda, Insecta, Hemiptera, Cimicidae. The transcript has 3 exons.
GAGAGUACGCUGUCUUGUGCAAAAGGUGAGCACUUUUGUGAUAAACCUGAUUUUACUGAAUCUGUAAUUUCAGAAUUAAAUGAACGUUCUAUAAGAAUGAAGAAUAUCAUACUUUUUGGCGUUAAUGAAGCUACUUCUUUGAAUGCUCAAGAAAGGUUCAAAACUGGUUUUGAGAA